UAGGGAGUGGUGUAAUAGGAAACACGGAGAGUUUUGAUCUCUCGAAUGUAGGUUCGAGUCCUAUCUUUCUAG
This 72-nucleotide transfer RNA is filed under the name Sphyrna tiburo (bonnethead). Its description in RNAcentral is "tRNA-Gln". It matches the Rfam family "tRNA". Rfam says of the family: Transfer RNA (tRNA) molecules are approximately 80 nucleotides in length. Their secondary structure includes four short double-helical elements and three loops (D, anti-codon, and T loops). Lineage: Eukaryota; Metazoa; Chordata; Chondrichthyes; Carcharhiniformes; Carcharhinidae. The record is from RNAcentral.